RNAcentral lists this transfer RNA (72 nucleotides) under Pangasianodon gigas (Mekong giant catfish). Its description in RNAcentral is "tRNA-Glu". Lineage: Eukaryota; Metazoa; Chordata; Actinopteri; Siluriformes; Pangasiidae. The record is from RNAcentral.
UCCCUGGAGGACUAGUGGUUAGACCACAGCACUCUCACCGCUGCGGCCAGGGUUCAAUUACUGGCCAGGGAG